UACGUAGGGGGCAAGCGUUGUUCGGAAUUACUGGGCGUAAAGGGCGCGUAGGCGGCACGACAAGUCGGGAGUGAAAGCCCGGGGCUCAACCCCGGAAUGUCUCUCGAAACUGUCGAGCUAGAGUGCAGAAGAGGCAACUGGAAUUCCCAGUGUAGCGGUGAAAUGCGUAGAUAUCUGGAGGAACACCGGUGGCGAAGGCGGCAUCCUGGACCAACACUGACACUGAUGAGCGAAAGCCAGGGGAGCAAACGGG
This 253-nucleotide ribosomal RNA is filed under the name uncultured bacterium. RNAcentral describes it as "partial 16S ribosomal RNA". It matches the Rfam family "Bacterial small subunit ribosomal RNA", at positions 524 to 776 of the family's 1533-position model. The record is from RNAcentral.